Molecule: long non-coding RNA, 3324 nt
Organism: Biomphalaria glabrata
Lineage: Eukaryota; Metazoa; Mollusca; Gastropoda; Planorbidae
Exons: 9
Source: RefSeq, a predicted model, not a curated record
CUGUUAGAUCACUGAACUGUAAAUGACACUAGUACACUACUUUGAGUUAGGUGCAAAAUACUGUAGAAACCUCUCAACACAUUGUUGUUGACCUGAUGACCUCCCGGUAACCCCUGGUUAUUUUCAGGAGAAAAAAAUGACCGGAAGAGAGGUACUAGUAUAGUAGAUACAGACUCUUGUAAAUACUAAACCGUAAAGGCUUAUCGCUAAGCAGACGAUACGAUUUUACGAAUCUGAGGCAGCAGGCGUGAAGCGUUGCCGAUGGAACUGACUAGAAAAUAUGACUCCAAGAAGGCUGCUGAUGUCCACAUCAUGAUGUUUUGAUGCCACACUUCCUAGUUCCUAAGGCCACAACCUGGGCUCGGAGGCACAAAUUAUGGUCUCAGGGAAAAGUGCAUCAACAUUUCAUGCUGGGACAUUCUCCCAAGUAAAAUACAGAUUUAAGAGGUUGAACUCUGGAGGCUAGGACUAAAAGUGUGGACAGAAGUUGAAGACAUGCCAGGUUGGACUGUUGUUAUAUUACAUGAUGAAAGGAUUGCUAGCAUCUCUGAUGAUUCAAGCUAUCUCUGAUGAGCGCUCUUACUAGAGGAUUCAGCCAAGAAAGUGCUAAUCUGAUGUGAGCCCAGAGGCAAGUUUGCUAUGGUCAAGUGAUAUGUCUGGCGUAAGCUGUAAAGUGCCUCUGCAAACAAGAAAAACACAGAGAGAUGAAUACAUGUAUUAAUCAAACUCUUGAAGUCACCAGAGUAUUUCGAGUCUUGACAAAACUAUUACUACUGAAGCAACAAAAACAACAACAAAAAAUUGAAUGGUGUGGUUGAAUGGUGUGGUUGAUGAGGAAGUUAAACCAAUUUAUUGUGGUUUAGUGGGAAGUUGUGGCUCUAGCUAGUAACUAACAUUAAAGAUUGACUGGCUGCAAAAGUUAAGAUGUGAAUGAAAGGAACUAUUCAGUAAGGCUGAACAUAUACCUUUAAGAAGCACAGGACUAGGAAACUAGAAAGUGGUUAAAUGUACCAGAAUGAAAAAAGACACCAGGCUGAGAUGACCUUUUUUUCAUAAUGCAAUGAUGUGGCACUAAAACGUCCCUCUCUGAUUCAGGCCACUUUAAGAAAGUAAUUGUUACAAGAUUCAUCCCAGCUUGCUCUCCUGUUUUUAUGGUUUUGCUGAUGUAGAAUUCAGUAUUGUAUGAAAUAGAUGUCCCAGUCUCUACAGACAUCCAAAAAGAUCACAAGAAACAUAACAUACUCAAGCUUCUGACUAACAUCUUGUAACAGUAUGGUUCCUGAAUUGGUGAGAAAAAUACUUAAAAAAGAGUAGUCCUUCUUCAUUUUCUGACUCAAAGACAGGAUUUUUAAAUACAUAAAGCUUAGUCAUUUUCUUUAAGCUUACCUCUAAUUCAGAGUUAUCUUGUUGCAAAUUACUUACUGAUUGGAAAUGCAGCUUGUAAAAUAUAUUUUUAUACAGUAAGCUACUGGUUUCCUGGUCGUGCGGUUUGCACGCUGGUCAGUCGUUUGGAUUUAUCGAUGGUCCCGGGUUCAAACCCUGCCAGCUCCCAUCCCCCGUCGUCCUACUAGGACUAGGAAGUAAACUCCGAAACGUAAAACAUUUUACAAAACAUUUUUUUUUUAUCCAUGUUUACAAAGAUAAUUUAGCUUUCCAAAUGCUUUAUAUGUUUUGAAUGUUCUAUUGCAUCUAUAUAAUAUAUGCUUAUGUCAAUGUCACUAUGAAACUCAUACAGAGAAGUCCAUCCUAGUUGCAUAUUUUAUCAAUAAACUGUAAUGGCCAUAUUACAUAUUUUGCUUUUAUAGGAAUUAUUAAAUUAAUUUAUUCAGUUAUUAAAUGCAUUUGGAAAUCUAGUUGUUGUCAUUAAACUGCCUAGUCCAUGUAAUCCUGCCAAAAGUUGUUGCUGUUUAUUGAACAGCAUGUAAUAUAGUGGCAAUGAUAAAUGUGUUACAUUAUUUGUAUUUCUAAAGUAGCCAGAUAACACUAACAUCUUCAGUCUUCAAAUAGUUCCAUGGCUGUGGAUUAUACAGAGACAUAACUAGUGUAAACACAAAGAGAAAUCAUUUUGUUUCUGUGAUGGGCUUAGGCAGGGCUGGCAAUUAGAUAGUCCUGCCAGAAAUGUACCCAGCCUGGCAAUGUGUGUAGGAACAUGACACAAAAGUGCUUCUGCACCAGACAAAACAAAAAAUGGCACUGGCAGACACUGUUUGGGUUACACUUUGGAGGGGGGUGGGGGAGGGGGGGCGGAGAAGUGACACAUGUCAGAUUUCACCUUUCAUCCAAUCUUAAAUCACAGGUAAAUGGGCAGCCCAUAAUGUCUACAUCAUGACCGUACAACAACCACUUGAUUGAACUCUAGUCAAGCAAAGUAUCCAAACAGGGCCAGCUUAAAGUAGGGGGAGGCCCCCCCGAACACGUUUUCAAAAGAAUUAUUAAUAAUAAUACUUGUAUUUAAAAACAAGCUGUAAUUUAGAAGAAAGAAACGAGUACUGGUAAAUUUUAUUUGAUCUCAUUUUCUUUAUUGAAAAAAAAUUAAUAUACAUAUUUGAGUUAAAAAAAUAAGUUUGAGUUUGUGGAGCGUACUGGUAAGUCACUGUUGUAAAUCUGGAGCUGUAUCUAUAUAUUAAAAGCAGGCUAUGUGCAAACAAUUAUUAACCACACACAGUGAUGCUAACUUACCAGUUGAAAUUUUGAUAUUUUUUAAAAAUCUCUGUUGUGGUGACCCACCCCACCCUCACGCGAAGGUCUUGGGCAGUAGCCCCACCAGCCCUCCACAAAUCUGGCCCUGUAUCCAAACUUUUGUUUUUUUUCAAAUAAAAUGUUUGCAGACUUAAUGAAUGAAUGGAUGAAACCAAUUGCUUUGAAUGUGAAAUAAGGUCUAUUGUUUAUUCAUUAAGAUGUUGCUAGUCACAUUUGAGUUAUUUUAUAACACUGUACAAAAAAAAAAUCAGUUUAAAAUAAUCAAGGUUAUCACUCUUACACAAGACACUUCGUAUUAACUCUUUGUAUUAUUGAUGGGCUACAUGACUGAGUUUGACACAACAUUUUAUACUUGUUUAUAGUUAGCUACUAAAGUGUCAUGUGGACCUCACAAUCCAUAAGCAUUGUAUUGACAGAAUAAGUCUUGAGUGGAUGAUGUGAAAGAACGCGAAUAUCGUGGGUUCAAUUUUUGUUCCAAUCAAUUGAAAAGGCGUGACAACAUAUUUGUCAUUUCUCCCACCAGCUAUUCUCGGAUCAAGUUGAGACUUUACUUCAUCUGUACACAUUUAUUUCUUUUACCGAAAGAAACAGGAAUCAAUAAAAAGAAGAAAAAGGGGACGUUAA